RNAcentral lists this ribosomal RNA (311 nucleotides) under Chthamalus malayensis. RNAcentral's name for it is "partial 12S ribosomal RNA". Lineage: Eukaryota; Metazoa; Arthropoda; Thecostraca; Balanomorpha; Chthamalidae. The record is from RNAcentral.
AUAGAGUUUUUGAAAUUUAACGGAUUUGGCGGCAAGAUAGCCCAUUUAGAGGAACCUGCCCUAUAAACGAUGAUCCACGAAUGACUUCACUUUCUUUAGUAAACAGUUUGUAUACCGCUGUUGUCAGUUAGUUUCUAGAGGAAGCUUUCUACAAUGAUAAAAAUCAUUGACUUCAAGUAAAGGUGCAGCUUAUAAGAAAGUUAGAGGUGGGUUACAAUUUUAUGAAAAAAACGAAUAACAUUAUGAAAAAUUGUUUGAAGGUGGAUUUAAUUGUAAAGUUAAAAAUAACUUGAUAAGAGCACUAACUUGUG